Molecule: ribosomal RNA, 305 nt
Filed under: uncultured bacterium
Lineage: Bacteria
Description: bacterial SSU rRNA
Rfam family: Bacterial small subunit ribosomal RNA
Source: RNAcentral
GGGGGCCUACGGGAGGCAGCAGUGGGUACUAUUUCUCAAUUUUCGAAAGCCUGACGCAGCGACGCCGCGUGAGGGAUGAAGGGCUUCGGAUCGUAAACCUCUGUCAGCAGGGAAGAACGGUCACUGUGCUAAUCAGCAGUGAAUUGACGGUACCUGCAAAGGAAGCACCGGCUAACUCCGUGCCAGCAGCCGCGGUAAUACGGAGGGUGCGAGCGUUAAUCGGAAUUACUGGGCGUAAAGCGCUCGUAGGCGGUAUGUCAAGUCAAGGGUGAAAUCCCCGCGCUCAACGUGGGAACUGCCUUUGA